CCUACGGGGCGCAGCAGUGGGGAAUAUUGGGCAAUGGGCGAAAGCCUGACCCAGCAACGCCGCGUUCAGGAAGAAUGCUUUCGGGUUGUAAACUUCUUUUGACAGGGAAGAGCAGAAGACGGUACCUGUCGAAUCAGCCACGGCUAACUACGUGCCAGCAGCCGCCGUCAUACGAAGGGGGGAAUCUUUGUCCGGAUUUACUGGGUGUAAAGGGCGGGUAGCCGGGCUGCAAAGGCAGAUGUUAAAUCCGGGGGCUCAACCCCCGAACUGCAUUUGAAACUGUUGGUCUUGAGGUACCGAGAGGCAGGCGGAAUUCCUAGUGUAGCGGUGAAAUGCGUAGAUAUUAGGAGGAACACCAGUGGCGAAGGCGGCCGGCUGGACGAAAACUGACGGUGAGGCGCGAAAGCGUGGGGAGCAAACAGGAUUAGAUACCCGAGUAGUC
This 442-nucleotide ribosomal RNA is filed under the name uncultured bacterium. RNAcentral describes it as "partial 16S ribosomal RNA". It matches the Rfam family "Bacterial small subunit ribosomal RNA", at positions 338 to 795 of the family's 1533-position model. The record is from RNAcentral.